This 497-nucleotide ribosomal RNA is filed under the name uncultured bacterium. Its description in RNAcentral is "partial 16S ribosomal RNA". It matches the Rfam family "Bacterial small subunit ribosomal RNA", at positions 28 to 507 of the family's 1533-position model. The record is from RNAcentral.
GAUGAACGCUGGCGGCGUGCCUAAUACAUGCAAGUCGAGCGAACGGACGAGAAGCUUGCUUCUCUGAUGUUAGCGGCGGACGGGUGAGUAACACGUGGAUAACCUACCUAUAAGACUGGGAUAACUUCGGGAAACCGGAGCUAAUACCGGAUAAUAUUUUGAACCGCAUGGUUCAAAAGUGAAAGACGGUCUUGCUGUCACUUAUAGAUGGAUCCGCGCUGCAUUAGCUAGUUGGUAAGGUAACGGCUUACCAAGGCAACGAUGCAUAGCCGACCUGAGAGGGUGAUAGGCCACACUGGAACUGAGACACGGUCCAGACUCCUACGGGAGGCAGCAGUAGGGAAUCUUCCGCAAUGGGCGAAAGCCUGACGGAGCAACGCCGCGUGAGUGAUGAAGGUCUUCGGAUCGUAAAACUCUGUUAUUAGGGAAGAACAUAUGUGUAAGUAACUGUGCACAUCUUGACGGUACCUAAUCAGAAAGUCACGGCUAACUACGUG